Molecule: ribosomal RNA, 466 nt
Filed under: uncultured bacterium
Lineage: Bacteria
Description: partial 16S ribosomal RNA
Rfam family: Bacterial small subunit ribosomal RNA
Source: RNAcentral
GACGAACGCUGGCGGCGCGCCUAACACAUGCAAGUCGAACGAGCGAGCGAGAGCUUGCUUUCUCAAGCGAGUGGCGAACGGGUGAGUAACGCGUGAGGAACCUGCCUCAAAGAGGGGGACAACAGUUGGAAACGACUGCUAAUACCGCAUAAGCCCACGACCCGGCAUCGGGUAGAGGGAAAAGGAGCAAUCCGCUUUGAGAUGGCCUCGCGUCCGAUUAGCUAGUUGGUGAGGUAACGGCCCACCAAGGCGACGAUCGGUAGCCGGACUGAGAGGUUGAACGGCCACAGUGGGACUGAGACACGGCCCAGAAUCCUACGGGAGGCAGCAGUGGGGAAUAUUGCACAAUGGGGGAAACCCUGAUGCAGCGACGCCGCGUGGAGGAAGAAGGUCUUCGGAUUGUAAACUCCUGUUGUGGAGGAAGAUAAUGACGGUACUCAACAAGGAAGUGACGGCUAACUACGUG